Molecule: ribosomal RNA, 446 nt
Filed under: Globigerina bulloides
Lineage: Eukaryota; Foraminifera; Rotaliida; Globigerinidae
Description: partial 18S ribosomal RNA
Rfam family: Eukaryotic small subunit ribosomal RNA
Source: RNAcentral
UUGACUCAACGCGGAAAAGCUUAUCUGGUCCGGACACAGUGAGGAUUGACAGACAGUUGGCAGGAGUGGUUCUUGGUAAAAACAAAUGAGAGAGUUGAAGUUCUUUCAUGAUCUUGUGAGAGGUGGUGCAUGGCCGUUCUUAGUUCGUGUAGUGAUAUGUCUGCCUAAUCGCGUCACGAUAACCUAUUGGUCGACAACCCAAUUAUCACAACUGCAGCAUAACUCCCCUUGGGUGGGCGAGGCUCUGUGUAGGAUAGACCUCUGAACAGUACGCAACGAACGCGAUCGUAAUCCCUUGUUGAGUGGCCAUCCUGUAAGCUGCUGGAUUUGAAACCCAGUGGUAUUAUCUCAGCCACAGAUUUUCUGGUUGUAAUGGGCCAGUUUUGAAACUCGGGGAACAUCUGUGACUUUCUUUCUUAACGCAGAGGAAGGUUAUGGCAAUAACA